RNAcentral lists this ribosomal RNA (503 nucleotides) under uncultured bacterium. RNAcentral describes it as "partial 16S ribosomal RNA". It matches the Rfam family "Bacterial small subunit ribosomal RNA", at positions 30 to 523 of the family's 1533-position model. The record is from RNAcentral.
AUUGAACGCUGGCGGCAGGCUUAACACAUGCAAGUCGAGCGGGGUGAUGGUGCUUGCACUAUCACUUAGCGGCGGACGGGUGAGUAAUGCUUAGGAAUCUGCCUAUUAGUGGGGGACAACAUCUCGAAAGGGAUGCUAAUACCGCAUACGUCCUACGGGAGAAAGCAGGGGAUCACUUGUGACCUUGCGCUAAUAGAUGAGCCUAAGUCGGAUUAGCUAGUUGGUGGGGUAAAGGCCUACCAAGGCGACGAUCUGUAGCGGGUCUGAGAGGAUGAUCCGCCACACUGGGACUGAGACACGGCCCAGACUCCUACGGGAGGCAGCAGUGGGGAAUAUUGGACAAUGGGGGGAACCCUGAUCCAGCCAUGCCGCGUGUGUGAAGAAGGCCUUAUGGUUGUAAAGCACUUUAAGCGAGGAGGAGGCUCUUUUGGUUAAAACCCAAGAUGAGUGGACGUUGCUCGCAGAAUAAGCACCGGCUAACUCUGUGCCAGCCGCCGCAGUAA